RNAcentral lists this transfer RNA (90 nucleotides) under Marasmius sp. AFHP31. RNAcentral's name for it is "tRNA-Glu". It matches the Rfam family "tRNA". Rfam says of the family: Transfer RNA (tRNA) molecules are approximately 80 nucleotides in length. Their secondary structure includes four short double-helical elements and three loops (D, anti-codon, and T loops). The record is from RNAcentral. Lineage: Eukaryota; Fungi; Basidiomycota; Agaricomycetes; Agaricales; Marasmiaceae.
UCCGUUAUGGUGUAGUGGCUAACAUUAUCGCCUCUCAUACGCUGGUAUAGAGUUACGCGAUAGCCCAGGGUUCGAUUCCCUGUAACGGAA